GGUGGGAUAGCUGGGUCAAAUGGUGGUUCCAUUCCAAGUUUUCCUAGGAAUCUCCACACUGCUUUCCAAAGUGGUUGUACCAAUUUGCAGUCUUACCAGCAAU
RNAcentral lists this microRNA precursor (103 nucleotides) under Marmota monax (woodchuck). Lineage: Eukaryota; Metazoa; Chordata; Mammalia; Rodentia; Sciuridae. The record is from RNAcentral.